RNAcentral lists this ribosomal RNA (776 nucleotides) under uncultured bacterium. Its description in RNAcentral is "bacterial SSU rRNA". It matches the Rfam family "Bacterial small subunit ribosomal RNA", at positions 57 to 846 of the family's 1533-position model. The record is from RNAcentral.
GCAGUCGACGAUGAAGCUGGAGCUUGCUCCGGUGGAUUAGUGGCGAACGGGUGAGUAACACGUGAGCAAUCUGCCCUUGACUCUGGGAUAACUGCGGGAAACUGUAGCUAAUACCGGAUACGAGACUGAGAGGCAUCUCUCAGUCUGGAAAGAAUUUCGGUCAAGGAUGAGCUCGCGGCCUAUCAGCUAGUUGGUGAGGUAAUGGCUCACCAAGGCGACGACGGGUAGCCGGCCUGAGAGGGUGACCGGCCACACUGGAACUGAGACACGGUCCAGACUCCUACGGGAGGCAGCAGUGGGGAAUAUUGCACAAUGGGCGAAAGCCUGAUGCAGCAACGCCGCGUGAGGGAUGAAGGCCUUCGGGUUGUAAACCUCUUUUAGCAGGGAAGAAGCGAAAGUGACGGUACCUGCGGAAAAAGCACCGGCUAACUACGUGCCAGCAGCCGCGGUAAUACGUAGGGUGCAAGCGUUGUCCGGAAUUAUUGGGCGUAAAGAGCUCGUAGGCGGUUUGUCGCGUCUGCUGUGAAAAUCCGAGGCUCAACCUCGGACCUGCAGUGGGUACGGGCAAACUAGAGUGCGGUAGGGGAGAUGGGAAUUCCUGGUGUAGCGGUGGAAUGCGCAGAUAUCAGGAGGAACACCGAUGGCGAAGGCACAUCUCUGGGCCGUAACUGACGCUGAGGAGCGAAAGCGUGGGGAGCGAACAGGAUUAGAUACCCUGGUAGUCCACGCCGUAAACGGUGGGUGCUAGUUGUGGGUUCCAUUCCACGGAUCCGUGA